GAAUUCGCCCUUAGAGUUUGAUCCUGGCUCAGGACGAACGCUGGCGGCGCGCCUAACACAUGCAAGUCGAACGGAGCUUAGAGAGCUUGCUUUUUAAGCUUAGUGGCGAACGGGUGAGUAACGCGUGAGUAACCUGCCCUAGAGUGGGGGACAACAGUUGGAAACGACUGCUAAUACCGCAUAAGCCCACGGUACCGCAUGGUACUGAGGGAAAAGGAUUUAUUCGCUUUAGGAUGGACUCGCGUCCGAUUAGCUAGUUGGUGAGGUAACGGCCCACCAAGGCGACGAUUGGUAGCCGGACUGAGAGGUUGAACGGCCACAUUGGGACUGAGACACGGCCCAGACUCCUACGGGAGGCAGCAGUGGGGGAUAUUGCACAAUGGGGGAAACCCUGAUGCAGCGACGCCGCGUGGAGGAAGAAGGUUUUCGGAUUGUAAACUCCUGUCGUUAGGGACGAUAAUGACGGUACCUAACAAGAAAGCACCGGCUAACUACGUGCCAGCAGCCGCGGUAAAACGUAGGGUGCAAGCGUUGUCCGGAAUUACUGGGUGUAAAGGGAGCGCAGGCGGGAAGACAAGUUGGAAGUGAAAACCAUGGGCUCAACCCAUGAAUUGCUUUCAAAACUGUUUUUCUUGAGUAGUGCAGAGGUAGAUGGAAUUCCCCGGUGUAGCGGUGGAAUGCGUAGAUAUCGGGGAGGAACACCAGUGGCGAAGGCGGUCUACUGGGCACCAACUGACGCUGAGGCUCGAAAGCAUGGGUAGCAAACAGGAUUAGAUACCCUGGUAGUCCAUGCCGUAAACGAUGAUUACUAGGUGUUGGGGGAUUGACCCCCUCAGUGCCGCAGUUAACACAAUAAGUAAUCCACCUGGGGAGUACGACCGCAAGGUUGAAACUCAAAGGAAUUGACGGGGGCCCGCACAAGCAGUGGAGUAUGUGGUUUAAUUCGACGCAACGCGAAGAACCUUACCAAGUCUUGACAUCCUGCGACGCACAUAGAAAUAUGUGUUUCCUUCGGGACGCAGAGACAGGUGGUGCAUGGUUGUCGUCAGCUCGUGUCGUGAGAUGUUGGGUUAAGUCCCGCAACGAGCGCAACCCUUAUGGUCAGUUACUACGCAAGAGGACUCUGGCCAGACUGCCGUUGACAAAACGGAGGAAGGUGGGGAUGACGUCAAAUCAUCAUGCCCUUUAUGACUUGGGCUACACACGUACUACAAUGGCGUUAAACAAAGAGAAGCAAGACCGCGAGGUGGAGCAAAACUCAGAAACAACGUCCCAGUUCGGACUGCAGGCUGCAACUCGCCUGCACGAAGUCGGAAUUGCUAGUAAUCGCAGAUCAGCAUGCUGCGGUGAAUACGUUCUCGGGCCUUGCACACACCGCCCGUCA
Molecule: ribosomal RNA, 1384 nt
Filed under: uncultured bacterium
Lineage: Bacteria
Description: bacterial SSU rRNA
Rfam family: Bacterial small subunit ribosomal RNA
Source: RNAcentral